ACUGGACUUUCAAGCACGCCCUUGCUCUACCAUAUAAUGAUAAUUUAAUUAUGUUUUAAUUAAACUUGACCAAUUUUGAGUCAAUAAUUUUGAAUCUAUAGGGCCUCUGAAAUGAUAUUAUUUUAGCAAGUUACAUAUGUUGUAAAGAAGGCAAGCGUGGCAAAUACUACUUCUCUAGACAUUUUAUCGAGCAUUUGGUGAGCACAAUAGUACUCAAUCUAUUUUGGCACAUGAAACAACUGAAUAUCUGAUGGACAAAUUAGCGAGCAAGAAAUAGCAAGCAAGGAGAAGCACACGGAAUCGUUGUGCCAACAGGUGCGGGUAGUGGUGGAGAUGGGAGGGUGGCCUGACCUGAUCUUGAUGAGGAACUCGUGGCUUCUUGCACGACCCACGCAAGGCCAUCCACUGCUGACACUGGGAUGGUGGCCUCGAGAAGCACCGUUGUGAGGAGUGUCAGGGCGACACCAUGGGUUCCCAUGGUCAUAAUCUACAGCAACCGAAGGCAGAGCCAAUGACAGGCAUGAUGAAUAGAUGGGGCUUCCGUGGAAGGAGAAAGGGAGAAAGAGGCGAGGCCGUGGGAGGCCGGCAUGGGCGACGACGGCCAUGGGCGGAGCGAAGUUAGGUGGUCGGAGGGGAGGGCGGCAUGGGCGUGACGAAUUGUCGGAGGAAGAAACUGUGGCCGCCCAUUGGGAGAGGU
Molecule: long non-coding RNA, 697 nt
Filed under: Zea mays
Lineage: Eukaryota; Viridiplantae; Streptophyta; Magnoliopsida; Poales; Poaceae
Description: drought responsive lncRNA
Source: RNAcentral